GCUCGCAGGCGGUUUCUUAAGUCUGAUGUGAAAGCCCCCGGCUCAACCGGGGAGGGUCAUUGGAAACUGGGAAACUUGAGUGCAGAAGAGGAGAGUGGAAUUCCAUGUGUAGCGGUGAAAUGCGUAGAGAUGUGGAGGAACACCAGUGGCGAAGGCGACUCUCUGGUCUGUAACUGACACUGAGGAGCGAAAGCGUGGGGAGCGAACAGGAUUAGAUACCCUGGUAGUCCACGCCGUAAACGAUGAGUGCUAAGUGUUAGAGGGUUUCCGCCCCUUAGUGCUGAAGCUAACGCAUUAAGCACUCCGCCUGGGGAGUACGGUCGCAAGACUGAAACUCAAAGGAAUUGACGGGGGCCCGCACAAGCGGUGGAGCAUGUGGUUUAAUUCGAAGCAACGCGAAGAACCUUACCAGGUCUUGACAUCCUCUGACAACCCUAGAGAUAGGGCUUCUCCUUCGGGAACAGAGUGACAGGUGGUGCAUGGUUGUCGUCAGCUCGUGUCGUGAGAUGUUGGGUUAAGUCCCGCAACGAGCGCAACCCUUGAUCUUAGUUGCCAUCAUUCAGUUGGGCACUCUAGGGUGACUGCCGGUGACAAACC
Molecule: ribosomal RNA, 597 nt
Filed under: Bacillus pumilus
Lineage: Bacteria; Bacillati; Bacillota; Bacilli; Caryophanales; Bacillaceae
Description: bacterial SSU rRNA
Rfam family: Bacterial small subunit ribosomal RNA
Source: RNAcentral